Molecule: ribosomal RNA, 480 nt
Filed under: uncultured bacterium
Lineage: Bacteria
Description: partial 16S ribosomal RNA
Rfam family: Bacterial small subunit ribosomal RNA
Source: RNAcentral
GAUGAACGCUAGCGGCAGGCCUAAUACAUGCAAGUCGAGGGGUAUGGGUUGCUUGCAACCCAGAGACCGGCGCACGGGUGCGUAACGCGUAUGCAAUCUACCUUAAUCAGGGGGAUAGCCCGGAGAAAUCCGGAUUAACACCGCAUAACAUUGAGUUGUGGCAUCACAGUUCAAUCAAAUAUUUAUAGGAUUAAGAUGAGCAUGCGUGGCAUUAGUUAGUUGGUGAGGUAACGGCUCACCAAGACCACGAUGUCUAGGGGAUCUGAGAGGAUGACCCCCCACACUGGUACUGAGACACGGACCAGACUCCUACGGGAGGCAGCAGUAAGGAAUAUUGGUCAAUGGGCGCAAGCCUGAACCAGCCAUGCCGCGUGCAGGAAGACGGCCCUAUGGGUUGUAAACUGCUUUUGUACCGGAAUAAACCUUCUCUUGCGAGAGAAGCUGAACGUACGGUAAGAAUAAGGAUCGGCUAACUCCGUG